Bacillus rossius redtenbacheri is the source of this 790-nucleotide long non-coding RNA. RefSeq lists it as uncharacterized. NCBI's taxonomy places the organism in Eukaryota, Metazoa, Arthropoda, Insecta, Phasmatodea, Bacillidae. The record is from RefSeq and is a predicted model, not a curated record. The transcript has 2 exons.
UCAAGUUGUCUACUGCUCAAGGAAGAGUAGUAGCGGUCUGCAAUUCAGAAGUUCAAGCUGCUUCAGCUGCCAACAAAAAUGUGUCCAUUUCUUUCUUGGUGAAGGAUAUAAGCCUAAAAAGAACAUGGAAAGUUAUUACAGGAAAGACAAUGAAAUAAACGGAGAAAAUGAAAGUGAACCAAAUGGCCGUGUCGAUGAAAGUGGCUUUGAGAAUACACAUUAUGAAGGAAUAACCGAAGAUGUACCUACACAAUUACAACAUUGGAGGUGUGACUGACGACACUUACAGUGUUGGAGAAUGGGUUUUGGUAAAUUACGAUGGCAUCAAAUAUCCUGGUGAAAUAACCUCUAUAGUAUUUGAACAUGCUGUUGAAGUAUCUGUGAUGCAUCCAGCAGCUGGUGGGACUUACAAAUGGCCGACAUUGCCUGAUAGACUGCUUUAUAACUUGAAGGAUGUCGUGAAAAAGAUAAGCGGGCCAUGCCCAUCAGGCUCCAGAGCAGCCUUCUUUGUUUUCAAAGACUUGUGAAAAACUAUGUUAAAAUAUUUUGGCAAUGUUUCUUUUUUCCAUUAACAUGUUUUUAAAAGUAAUUUUUUUGUUUUUAAUAUAACAAAUAUGUUAUAGUCCUCUUGAUUAAAGUUUGUUGUGUGUUUUUCCAACUAUUGAACAAAUGAGUCUGUUAAAAUUUUGUGUCACAAUUUCAUUUCUUUACAUGUCAGAAUUUUUAAAAUGUAAUAUGCUGUACAUUUCUGCGUGAAUUGGUUUGUAUUAAAAAAUUGUAAAUAACAAAA